CGACCAGGCUCCAGUCCUGUACCUCAACAGUUCCAGUGCACGAGAAGGGGAAACACUUUUGGUUCAUUGUGUCAUUGAUUGGCAGUUUCCUGCUACACGAGUUGUCUUCUGCAAGAAUGGGCUGGAGGAGUUCAGCCUGAAAGCCCAGCAGGGCAGGCUCAUCUACGCUCUGGUCCUGAACAUCACCUCCAGAAGUGCUGGGAUGUACACGUGUGGGUACCAGCAAAAGAACAAGGAAAACAACGUGAAGAACUCUGCUCUCAGUGCUCCCCGGACCUUGUCUGUAGCAGCCCCAUAUCCCCGGAUUCUGCACACCCUCCCCACAGGCACGGUGCUGGCAGUGGCGGCCGUCGGCCUCGUCCUCCUGGCUGCAGGCAGCUGGUUUGCCAUCAGGAAACGUGCCUGCAGAGGGAGAUGCCCAAGGCAGCAGCACGUUGACAGCCCACAGACGGAAGACACCAACUAUGGUGACAUCCAGUGUGAGUACUACCUCCUCCCUUGGGGGAAGCCACAUGCUCCUCUUCCCAUGAGAAUCCUCUGCGAGUCCCCAUGGAAUCCUACCACUUCAUUUCCCACUGGGAAUAACAAAAUCCCUGCCCGUUCAUCAAGGCCAGGUUUCUCUCCAGCACAUCAUGUCCUGCUUCUUCCUUGCAUGCACAGCGCAGCUGCUGGCUGCACAAGGGACAUGGCAGCAUCCCAGUUCUCCCAGGGACAAAGCCCCUUUGCUGGGCGGUCCUUCCACACAUGCUCCAGACCCAGGCUGCAGUUGCCCCACUUCAACGUCUGCUUUUGUCCUUUCUUCAGUUUACUUCAAAGUGAUUUCGGUUUUCAUGUAGUUGAAAGGACAGAGGAGCAAUGAAAGAUGCGGCUCUCUUUCCUUGUGUUUGUGGGGAAAACAUUUUAUAGUUUGCUCUGAAACCACAGGCAGCAGCCAAGGGAGGAUGUUGUGGUUGGGUGACAGGCUAUAGAUAUAUCCGCACCCUACUUGCACCUCGCUCAUGGUGCAGCACAACCUUGUUUACCCACGCUUGCACAGAGCAGCUCGCAAGGUGUGCUGGCUGUGCAAAGAGAGGAGAUUCCACAGAAAGCUGGAAAUACACCAAAACCUCAGCAUCUCUGCUCCAUCGCUGCUGCUUAAUCUUCAUCC
Molecule: long non-coding RNA, 1147 nt
Filed under: Anas platyrhynchos platyrhynchos (common mallard)
Lineage: Eukaryota; Metazoa; Chordata; Aves; Anseriformes; Anatidae
Description: lncRNA (ENSAPLG00000016865.1)
Source: RNAcentral